RNAcentral lists this ribosomal RNA (487 nucleotides) under uncultured bacterium. RNAcentral's name for it is "bacterial SSU rRNA". It matches the Rfam family "Bacterial small subunit ribosomal RNA", at positions 28 to 507 of the family's 1533-position model. The record is from RNAcentral.
GAUGAACGCUAGCGAUAGGCCUAACACAUGCAAGUCGAGGGGCAUCACAUGAAGUAGCAAUACGGAUGGUGGCGACCGGCGCACGGGUGAGUAACACGUAUGCAACCUGCCUUCAACAAGGGGAUAACCCGUUGAAAGACGGACUAAUACCCUAUAACACAGGGGUCCCGCAUGGGAAUAUUUGUUAAAGGACAACCGGUUGAAGAUGGGCAUGCGUUCCAUUAGCUAGUUGGCGGGUAACGCCCACAAGGCAACGAUGGAUAGGGGAACUGAGAGGUUUAUCCCCCACACUGGUACUGAGACACGGACCAGACUCCUACGGGAGGCAGCAGUGAGGAAUAUUGGUCAAUGGACGCAAGUCUGAACCAGCCACGUCGCGUGAAGGAAGACGGCCCUACGGGUUGUAAACUUCUUUUAUACGGGAAUAAAGUGCCCCACGCGUGGGGUUUUGCAUGUACCGUAUGAAUAAGGAUCGGCUAACUCCGUG